RNAcentral lists this ribosomal RNA (485 nucleotides) under uncultured bacterium. Its description in RNAcentral is "bacterial SSU rRNA". It matches the Rfam family "Bacterial small subunit ribosomal RNA", at positions 28 to 507 of the family's 1533-position model. The record is from RNAcentral.
GAUGAACGCUAGCGGCAGGCCUAAUACAUGCAAGACGAACGGUAAGUUUGAUAGCAAUAUUGAACCUAGAGUGUCGUAAGGGUGCGUAACACGUAUGCAAUCUACCCUCAACAGGAGGAUAGCUCCCCGAAAGGGGAAUUAACACUCCAUAAGAUCACAGGAUGGCAUCAUUCAGUGAUUAAAACUCCGGUGGUUGAGGAUGAGCAUGCGCAUGAUUAGUUAGUUGGCGGGGUAAUGGCCCACCAAGACGAUGAUCAUUAGGGGAACUGAGAGGUUGAUCCCCCACACUGGCACUGAGAUACGGGCCAGACUCCUACGGGAGGCAGCAGUAGGGAAUAUUGGACAAUGGGUGCGAGCCUGAUCCAGCCAUGCCGCGUGCAGGAAGACGGCCUUCUGGGUUGUAAACUGCUUUUGCCAGGGGAUAAAAAGACCAAUGCGUGGUCAAUUGAAGGUACCUAGGUGAAUAAGCCACGGCUAACUACGUG